This 253-nucleotide ribosomal RNA is filed under the name uncultured bacterium. Its description in RNAcentral is "partial 16S ribosomal RNA". It matches the Rfam family "Bacterial small subunit ribosomal RNA", at positions 524 to 776 of the family's 1533-position model. The record is from RNAcentral.
UACGUAGGGUGCAAGCGUUGCCCGGAAUUAUUGGGCGUAAAGAGCUUGUAGGCGGUUUGUCGCGUCUGCUGUGAAAUUUCGGGGCUCAACCCCGAACUUGCAGUGGGUACGGGCAGACUAGAGUGUGGUAGGGGAGACUGGAAUUCCUGGUGUAGCGGUGAAAUGCGCAGAUAUCAGGAGGAACACCGAUGGCGAAGGCAGGUCUCUGGGCCAUAACUGACGCUGAGAAGCGAAAGCAUGGGGAGAGAACAGG